This 57-nucleotide transfer RNA is filed under the name Deroceras reticulatum. RNAcentral's name for it is "tRNA-Asn". Lineage: Eukaryota; Metazoa; Mollusca; Gastropoda; Stylommatophora; Agriolimacidae. The record is from RNAcentral.
UUAAGUAGAGCUUGAAUAAGCAUUUAACUGUUAAUUAAAAGAUUUUUUUUACUUAAA